Molecule: transfer RNA, 74 nt
Rfam family: tRNA
About the family: Transfer RNA (tRNA) molecules are approximately 80 nucleotides in length. Their secondary structure includes four short double-helical elements and three loops (D, anti-codon, and T loops).
Source: Rfam
GCCCUGUUAGCUCAGCGGUUUAGAGCAUAAGAUUGCAGAUCUUAGGGUCCAUCGUUCGAAUCGGUGACAGGGCU